UGCAGAGGAAGCAGCACGAACACGCACACACCGUACAAAGGAAUCUCUUCAUACUACUAACGUUACCUAUAUGGCUUAUGAAGAAUAGUCACCGUAUUAUGUGUACUUUAAUAAUUUAUCUUGUAAACUGAAAUAUAUACUUACAAGUGCACUGAAAAUAUGUCAUUAGUUUCCAACUUUGAUACUUGCGCGUGUAGCUACAGUGUGGUCAAAGUUACUAUGGCAACAACUGAACCGCGCCACUGCAUUCUCACCCAAUACCUGCGCACAGCUGUUCUCCACACAGGGCGUCUCAAAUGCAUUCCUGCCGUUUUCAUAUAUACAGCAGUUUACCUGCACACGCCCUUCCUGGCGUGGCUUAUUUAACUCAUAUACGUCGUUUAUUGUUGCCUGGUUCCUUUCAGCUGAAAAGCAACAGAAGACUGGAUUUAUGUUACAAUGAUUUCAACCGACAGAAAUAGAUCAAACAACAUUUGCCGCAGAUCCUUGUCUCUGAUGUUUUCGCACCGAUUAUGCGUGUGUGUGUGUGUGUGUGUGUGUGUGUGUGUGUGUGAGAGAGAGUGAGUGUGUGCACACUGCUCUCCUUGAUUGGGGUCUUGGCACCGGUUUCAAAGACCUUAUCAGAUGAAGCUGAACGGACAGUCAUGCAUGCUGCAAGCUGAGCAAAUGUCAAUAAUUUCCCAGAGUUAGAGUUCCAGAGGAAAACUCCGAUCCCAGCUGUUGUAUGUAGAUCAACAGUGAUGUUCAGUAUAUUACAGGAGUUAUUCAGUGAUCAAGUGUUUCCCUGUACUGCGGGGAAAUAAUAUACGCUGGGAGAGAGAAACGUGUGUGGAAGAACCAGAGAGCGAGAGAGUCCAACAGAAGAUCUAGACACCGAGUAAAACACACAAACAACAGCUGCAAAACAGCUGACGGUUACCCAUGCAUUGAAGACGCGCACACACACACACACACACACACACACACACACACACACACACACACACACACACACACAUACACACACUACAGGCUCAUGUCCUCCUGCAAGCAGGGGCGUGUUGUACUCAUACAUAUACGGCUCAAACACACCUGCCACAACAGAGCACAGCUGUCAGGUCCAUCACCCUGAACCGUACGUGUAACCUCACACACACAAAAACACACACAAGCAGACCCACUUUUUCACGUAUAUGAGGAAACACACAGUAACUGGUUGAUUGUGCUCGGACACCUGGGCACACAUUCUCUCACACAAACCAAACACACACUAAGCUACAAGGCCUUUUUUUGAGUGUAACGUUUGUGCUAACACAAAGACUGAAUUGAUGUUGAUAUAAACAAUACUGCUAUGAAUAAAAUGAUUUACACAGAUUAAAUGAAUGGUAUGGCCUACUGUAUGUUUUAUUAAUAACACACAGAAGGAACGGUGCUCAAGGGGAAUGCUAAUAGGAUUCUCUCCUUCACACACACACAUCAAAUGUCAGAUUGAUGCCACACUGUAACUAAACCUCAGCUCCUCCCACUCUGCCGCGUGCAUUCACUUGCUAAAAGGUGCCCGAGG
Long non-coding RNA from Gasterosteus aculeatus aculeatus (three-spined stickleback), 1543 nucleotides. The record is from Ensembl. Lineage: Eukaryota; Metazoa; Chordata; Actinopteri; Perciformes; Gasterosteidae.